CCCUUAGAUGUCCGGGGCCGCACGCGCGCUACACUGAUGCAUUCAACGAGUUUUGUUUGUUCCUUGGCCGAGAGGCCUGGGCAAUCUUUUGAACUUGCAUCGUGAUAGGGAUAGAUUAUUGCAAUUAUUAAUCUUGAACGAGGAAUUCCUAGUAAACGCAGAUCAUCAAUCUGCAUUGAUUACGUCCCUGCCCUUUGUACACACCGCCCGUCGCACCUACCGAUUGAAUGGUCCGGUGAAGCCUCGGGAUUGUGGUUGGUUUCCUUUAUUGGAGAUUGAUUGCGAGAACUUGUCUAAACCUUAUCAUUUAGAGGAAGGUGAAGUCGUAACA
This 331-nucleotide ribosomal RNA is filed under the name uncultured eukaryote. RNAcentral describes it as "partial 18S ribosomal RNA". It matches the Rfam family "Eukaryotic small subunit ribosomal RNA", at positions 1470 to 1796 of the family's 1831-position model. The record is from RNAcentral.